RNAcentral lists this ribosomal RNA (496 nucleotides) under uncultured bacterium. RNAcentral describes it as "bacterial SSU rRNA". It matches the Rfam family "Bacterial small subunit ribosomal RNA", at positions 17 to 507 of the family's 1533-position model. The record is from RNAcentral.
UCCUGGCUCAGAACGAACGCUGGCGGCGCGCCUAAUACAUGCAAGUCGAGCGAGAAGGUGUAGCAAUACACUUGUAAAGCGGCGAACGGGUGAGGAAUACAUGGGUAAUCUACCAUCGAGUGGGGAAUAACCAGCCGAAAGGUUGGCUAAUACCGCGUACGCUUCCGAGUCUUCGGGCUUGGAAGGAAAGCCGCACUGUGAGUGCGGCGCUCUUUGAUGAGCUCAUGUCCUAUCAGCUUGUUGGUAGGGUAACGGCCUACCAAGGCUUUGACGGGUAGCUGGUCUGAGAGGACGAUCAGCCACACUGGCACUGCGACACGGGCCAGACUCCUACGGGAGGCAGCAGUAAGGAAUAUUGCGCAAUGGGCGAAAGCCUGACGCAGCGACGCCGCGUGGGGGAUGAAGGUCUUCGGAUUGUAAACCCCUUUCGGGAGGGAAGAUGGAGCGAGCAAUCGUUCGGACGGUACCUCCAGAAGCAGCCACGGCCAACUUCGUG